UUCCAAACAGGUUCUUCUUUCGCAUCCUCUAUGUCGGUUACAUUCAAGGUGUCAUUGGGGGGAAUAGGGAAGAUGCAAUCAAUUAUGAAGACAAUUUUAAUACCUUCACCAUCCUAAUUCAACCCCUUUAUAGAUUUAAAUAGUUUCAUACCAGUUUUCCUAAAUGCUGCUUCUUUCACAAUCUCGGUGUGAGUUACGUUCAAAUGUCCGUCUUCCACAAUCUCGCUGUCAGUUGCGUUCAAAGGUCCAUCUUCCACAAUCUCGGUUGGGUUCAAAGGUCCUUCUUCCACAAUCUCGCUGUCAGUUACGUUCAAAGGUCCGUCUUCCACAAUCUCUCUGUCAGUUACGUUCAAAGGUCCGUCUUCCACAAUCUCGGUUGGGUUCAAAGGUCCUUCUUCCACAAUCUCGCUGUCAGUUGCGUUCAAAGGUCCGUCUUCCACAAUCUCGGUUGGGUUCAAAGGUCCUUCUUCCACAAUCUCGGUUGGGUUCAAAGGUCCUUCUUCCACAAUCUCUCUGUCAGUUGCGUUCAAAGGUCCUUCUUCCACAAUCUCGGUUGGGUUCAAAGGUCCUUCUUCCACAAUCUCUCUGUCAGUUGCGUUCAAAGGUCCGUCUUCCACAAUCUCGGUUGGGUUCAAAGGUCCUUCUUCCACAAUCUCGGUUGGGUUCAAAGGUCCUUCUUCCACAAUCUCGGUUGCUUUCAAAGGUCCUUCUUCCACAAUCUCGGUUGCUUUCAAAGGUCCUUCUUCCACAAUCUCGGUUGGGUUCAAAGGUCCUUCUUCCACAAUCUCGGUUGGGUUCAAAGGUCCGUCUUCCACAAUCUCGGUUGUGUUCAAAGGUCCUUCUUCCACAAUCUCGCUGUCAGUUGGGUUCAA
This is a long non-coding RNA of Oncorhynchus keta (chum salmon), 872 nucleotides long. RefSeq lists it as uncharacterized. The record is from RefSeq and is a predicted model, not a curated record. Lineage: Eukaryota; Metazoa; Chordata; Actinopteri; Salmoniformes; Salmonidae. The transcript has 5 exons.